Exophiala spinifera is the source of this 92-nucleotide small nucleolar RNA. NCBI's taxonomy places the organism in Eukaryota, Fungi, Ascomycota, Eurotiomycetes, Chaetothyriales, Herpotrichiellaceae. The record is from Rfam.
CUUCCAUGAUGAUUAAAGGUUUUUUCUCAAUCAGUUCUGCUUCUGAAUACAAGUUGAAGAAAUCAUUACCAAGCUUACCAAUUGUCUGAUCU